UGUAAAGUUCAAGCUCCGAUUUGUGAGGGCGAAACCGCGAAUGGCUCAUUAAAUCAGUCAUAAUCUACUUGAUUGUUUAAAGUUUCUAUAUGGAUAACUGUGGUAAUUCUAGAGCUAAUACAUGCGUGAAGGGGGCGACUCCGCGAGGAGAAGCUCUGCGUUUAUUAGGUAAAAGACCAAUGUUCAGCCGUAAGGUUGUAUCAUUUAAGGUGGUGACUCUGAGUAAAUAAUGGUUGCAAGACCAUGUUGCCGACCUGGCAUAUCAAACGGUUGUUGGCAACAGCAAACCGGCCAGGCGAAUCAAUCGAGUGUCUGCUCUAUCAACUGUGGAUGGUAGGGUAAUUGCCUACCAUGGUGGUGACGGGUAACGGGGAGUUAGGGCUCGACUCCGGAGAACAAGCCUGAGAAACGGCUAGUAGGACUAAGGUCUGCAGCAGGCGCGAAACUUACACAAUGCUAGAUUUCAUGAAAUAGCGAUGUAGUGAAGAAAAAUAACGAUGUGAUUGUAUUUAAACAUACUUUCACAAUUGGAAUGAGACGACUCUAAACCAGUCAGUCGAGUAACAAAUGGAGGGCAAGUCUGGUGCCAGCAGCCGCGGUAAUUCCAGCUCCAUUAGCAUACAUUAAAGUUGUUGCGGUUAAAAAGCUCGUAGUUGAAUUUUUAGCGGGCUCUUGUCGGGUGUGAGCCGUCAAGGGGCGCCCCUAACCGGGUGUCCUGGUUCACCACUCACUUGGAGCCCGUUGUUUCGUCACUUAAUCGAGUGCGAAGCGGGUCGGCGAGACGCUGUCUUCGGACGGUCACGACGACAUGUUUACCUUGAGAAAAUUAGAGUGCUCAGAGCAGGCAGUUGGGGUUUAACCACCUCUUUAUGCUUGAAUAAUGUUGCAUGGAAUAAUAGAAUACGGCCUCGGUUCUAUUCUGUUGGUCUUAUAGAACAACAAAUAAGUUGGUUUGGGCAUCAAAUGGCUCUCCCUUGCCGUGGUCCGGCCUGUGGUCUUGUUGUCUGGGGCCUAAAAAUCUCAGUACCUUACCCGGGUUGAAUCAUUAAGCGGCUUGGGUCGGAGUUAGCCCGCAAAUCAACUGAGGCAAUGGUUAAAAGAAAUAGUCGCGGCGGCAUCAGUACUGCAUCGUGAGAGGUGAAAUUCUUAGACCGAUGCAAGACUAACUGAAGCGAAAGCGUUUGCCGAGGAUAUUUUCAUUAAUCAAGAACGAAAGUUAGAGGUUCGAAGGCGAUCAGAUACCGCCCUAGUUCUAACCAUAAACGUUGCCAACUAGCAAUUGGAUUGCGAUUCCUUUAGUUGGAGCCUAAAAAACUCCAACCAUUAUGAUCCAUCCAGCGGCUCUCGUAGGGAAACCAAAGUGUUUGGGUUCCGGGGGAAGUAUGAUUGCAAAGUUGAAACUUAAAGGAAUUGACGGAAGGGCACCACCAGGAGUGGAGCCUGCGGCUUAAUUUGACUCAACACGGGGAAACUUACUAGAUUAGAACUCUGGAAUGAUUGACAGAUUGAUAGCUCUUUCUUGAUUCAGAGGAUGGUGGUGCAUGGCCGUUCUUGAUUCGUAUUCCGAAACGUCUGCUUAAUUGCGAUAACGAGUGAGACCUCAUCACGCAAACUAGUUGCUUGGUGCGCUGUGGGACGCAAAAGUUUGUCGUUGGUUCUCGGUGGGUUGGUGCAAACUGGCCCAUCUCCCAGCGAUGAAUGUCCUCUGCUCGCCAGUAGACUUCUCUGCGGAAUCAUGAAUAAAAAAUUCAGAGAGACGAGGCAAUAACAGGUCUGUGAUGCCCUUAGAUAUUCUAGGCCGCACGCGUGCUACAAUGGCGUGUGCAGAAAGCUUGUUCGAGUUUCGUCCGGGGACGGCUAAUUGUUUGGCAGGAGUGGGGGCAACUUCGCUCAGGUCGGCAGUCAAGUGGCCUCGGUAACGGGACGAGAGAAACCGUAGUCGAAAGAUUACGGCAAUCAUAAAUACACGCCGUGAUUUGGGAUUGGGGAUUGCAAUUGUUGCCCAUGAACGAGGAAUUCCCAGUAAGCGCGAUUCAUCAUAUCGCGCUGAUUACGUCCCUGCCCUUUGUACACACCGCCCGUCGCUACUACCGAUUGGAAGUUUUAGUGAGGCAUCUGGACUUGCUGGCCAAGGGGUGGGCAACUGCUCCAGGCUUGGCGGGGAAGUUUGUCGAACUCAAAUUUCUAGAGGAAGUAAAAGUCGUAACAAGGUUUCCGU
This 2218-nucleotide ribosomal RNA is filed under the name Asetiabacarus sp. FJ14. Its description in RNAcentral is "partial small subunit ribosomal RNA". It matches the Rfam family "Eukaryotic small subunit ribosomal RNA". The record is from RNAcentral. Lineage: Eukaryota; Metazoa; Arthropoda; Arachnida; Trombidiformes; Eriophyidae.